Molecule: ribosomal RNA, 467 nt
Filed under: uncultured bacterium
Lineage: Bacteria
Description: partial 16S ribosomal RNA
Rfam family: Bacterial small subunit ribosomal RNA
Source: RNAcentral
ACGGACGCUGGCGGCGUGCUUAACCCCUGCAAGUCGAACGGAAAGGCCCUGCUUUUGUGGGGUGCUCGAGUGGCGAACGGGUGAGUAACACGUGAGUAACCUGCCCUUGACUUUGGGAUAACUUCAGGAAACUGGGGCUAAUACCGGAUAGGAGCUCCUGCUGCAUGGUGGGGGUUGGAAAGUUUCGGCGGUUGGGGAUGGACUCGCGGGUUAUCAGCUUGUUGGUGGGGUAGUGGCUUACCAAGGCUUUGACGGGUAGCCGGCCUGAGAGGGUGACCGGCGUCAUUGGGACUGAGAUACGGCCCAGACUCCUACGGUAGGCAGCAGUGGGGAAUAUUGCACAAUGGGCGGAAGCCUGAGGCAGCAACGCCGCGUGCGGGAUGACGGCCUUCGGGUUGUAAACCGCUGUCGCCUGUGACGAAGCGUGAGUGACGGUAAUGGGUAAAGAAGCACCGGCUAACUACGUG